RNAcentral lists this ribosomal RNA (785 nucleotides) under Diversispora celata. RNAcentral's name for it is "partial small subunit ribosomal RNA". The stretch from base 1 to 677 matches the Rfam family "Eukaryotic small subunit ribosomal RNA", at positions 436 to 1116 of the family's 1831-position model. The record is from RNAcentral. Lineage: Eukaryota; Fungi; Glomeromycota; Glomeromycetes; Diversisporales; Diversisporaceae.
UUUUUUUGUUGGAAGGCAAGUUUGGUGCCCGCCGCCCCCGUAACUCCCACAAUUUAGAAUUUAUAUGAAUGUUGUUUCAAUUAAAACCCUUGUAGUUGGAAGGAAAAAAUAUUUUGGAGGGCAAGUCUGGUGCCAGCAGCCACGGUAAUCAGCUCAUAGCGUAUAUUAAAGUUGUUGCAGUUAAAAAGCUCGUAGUUGAACUUCGGGGUUCACCCAUUGGUCAGGCUUAAUUGUCUGCACUGGUGAGAUGAGUCUCUACCUUCUGAGGAACUUUCAUGUCAUUAAUUUGGUGUGAUUGGAAAUCAGGACUGUUACUUUGAAAAAAUUAGAGUGUUUAAAGCAGGCUAACGUCUGAAUACAUUAGCAUGGAAUAAUGAAAUAGGACGGACUGAUUCUAUUUCGUUGGUUUCUAGGAUCACCGUAAUGAUUAAUAGGGAUAGUUGGGGGCAUUAGUAUUCAAUUGUCAGAGGUGAAAUUCUUGGAUUUAUUGAAGACUAACUACUGCGAAAGCAUUUGCCAAGGAUGUUUUCAUUAAUCAAGAACGAAAGUUAGGGGAUCGAAGACGAUCAGAUACCGUAGUAGUCUUAACCAUAAACUAUGCCGACUAGGGAUCGGACGAAGUUAAUUUAUAAUGACCGGUCCCCACCUUACGGGAAACCAAAGUGUUUUGGGUUCCAAAAAAGAAGGAAGAAGAAAAAAAAAGGCAAAAAGACUAGAUAAGAAAGAAAAAAAAAAACUCCUUCUUAUUUUUUAUUGGAAACCAAACGGUUUGGGUUAAGUCAAAA